Homo sapiens (human) is the source of this 1239-nucleotide long non-coding RNA. Ensembl annotates it as lncRNA osteogenesis associated. Its record names the gene LNCOG. The record is from Ensembl. Lineage: Eukaryota; Metazoa; Chordata; Mammalia; Primates; Hominidae.
GGCAGUUCUCAACUUGCUCCUUGGCUGUUCUCCUGACACUUAAGUCAGAGCAUUCUGUAGCUGUAUUUUACAGAACUGUAAUUGCACAGAUUGUUCCUCUUACAAGAGAAAUAUCCAGAGCUCUAAGAAAACAACUGAUGAAAACGACAUGCGUGACAUUUGGUGCUGAAGACCCAGGUCAGAGAGACUCCUUUGGGGGACCAGUCCGCUGUCCUUGCCCUCACUCUGUGAGGAGACCCACCUACGACCUCGGGUCCUCAGACCAACCAGCUCAAGGAACAUCUCACCAAUUUCAAAUCGGGACCCCACUGGAAAAUGGACUGUCCAACUCACCCGGCAGCCACUCCCAGAGCCCCUGGAACUCUGGCCCAAGGCUCUCUGACUGACUCCUUCCCAGAUCUUCUCGGCUCAGCAGCUGAAGACUGACACUGCUUGAUUGCCUGGGAAGCCUAUAGGACCAUCACAGACACUUUGGAUAACUCUUACAGUGAAGGUGUCUGGAGUUUCCCCUAUGGACGCUCUCUCCUGCCACCAUGUAAGUCUUGCCUCUCUUUUCGUUUGCCUUCCACCAUGAUUGUAAGUUUCCUGAGGCCUCCCCAGCUAUGUGGAACUACAAAAAAGCGCCACUGCAGGGAGGAAUGCCAGGGUCCCAUAGAGGGAGACCGACAGUGAAGUGGAGCCUGCCAUGAAUUCACCAAAGGCCAUUCUCCCUUUCUUCCAGAAGAACAGCAUUUAGCUGGGCCUAUGGCUACCUACCUAAAGACUGCACCUCUUAGUCACCCUUGUGGCCAGGUGUGGCCACGUGACAGUGGAAUGUAAGUGGAAGUGAUGUAUGCACUUGGGUUCAUUGGUUUAAAAAAAAAUAUGACCGCCCUCCAUUUCCACUCUUUGUCUUAUCUGUGAAUGGGAACAUGGCUGUGUCUGCAGCCCGACUUUGUGCAGCAAAGGACAAGGCCCUAGGGGAAGGUGGAGAAACAAGAUGGAACAACUUGGACCCAACAACUUGGAUCCCUAUGUGGCCAUGUGGAGUCAUCUCACCCACCUGGGCCACUCACCCCGAAGACUGUUGUGUGAGGGUGAAAUAAACUUCUGUAUCACUAGCCCCUGCAUUUCAGAAAUUCUUUGUUAUGGCAGUUUUGCCUUUAUCCUAACACAGACAGCAAAGUAUCUUCUGUGGCCCCAUGACUAAUUUCGUUGUUUAAACUCAUUAUAAAAACUAUAUAAAUAAAAUAUUAAAAA